This is a long non-coding RNA of Astatotilapia calliptera (eastern happy), 1238 nucleotides long. NCBI's taxonomy places the organism in Eukaryota, Metazoa, Chordata, Actinopteri, Cichliformes, Cichlidae. The record is from Ensembl.
AAAUUCAUUCACCUGCACAGAUUAGCUAAACGAACCCUGACAGCCGAGUGCUCAUUUUAGCUAGCUAAGGUCUCAGGACCUAGCUAAGGACGGUAGUUACGGAUUAGCUUACAAACACGUUUAACUUACCGAAAAAGUGCACCGGGGCCUUGGGUCCUUCUGUCGGGUAGUCCAGUUUACUGUACUGAAGAACACCUCAGGCUGUCAGGUCAAAACACUCGGUCGUGUUUUCGUAGCGUAGGCCCUCCUCUCAGAGCCUACGCUCUAUCUGCUAUUCCCGAACAGAGAUACGCAAGUUUCUCCGUGACUGCAGCUGCCAGUCAAAGCUGUUAUGAUGACGUUUCACCCCAAUUUAACAUCAACGCGGUACGAAUUAGAAUCAAACUUAUGGGAAAGGAGACCCCUUGGACAUCAAUCAGCAUGAUGAGAACUAUUGAAAACAAAAGAAAGAAUCUUUGGAAAAAAAAUUAUCUGAGGAGAAUAAAUAAAUUUUAGUCUGACCCCAGUCCCAACCGCUAACAUGGAGGAGGCGGGGUUUAUGACCUAUACUGCAGCCAGACACCAGGGGGCGAUAGAGACGUUUUGGCUUCAUUUAUGGGGAGCUGUCGCGUCGUCCAUGUUUUCUACAGUCAUUGGUUUAUACCGUUACAAAAAAUAAAAAAAAAAUAAAAAUCAUCGGCCCACCUAUGCCCGAAGGCCAGUCCAGCUAUGGCUGUGCCAUCAGUUGACCCUAGGGUUGCCGACCAGAGGCGGAGCCAGACAUUUGAAACACCCGGGGCUUAGCCCAAAAGGGUAGUAUGCAUGUGGGAUUUUUUUUUUUUUUUUGGGGGGGGGGGGGGGGGUUAGAAAUGAGUGAAAGAUUAAUAGGCUCUGUUUUGAGUUUUGUUCAAAAAAGAAUGUCUUCUUAUAGGGAAAAAUAUAUAUCACAUGUGCAGGACACCUUAAACUAGUUUUUUAAUUAAGCAGCGAGGCAGAACAAAGUCAGGGCUGUAUCAAGACAUGAGGACUAAACCCCAAUUCAACCAGACCCAGAACUGAUCCAGAAUUAAAACAGGACUACAAGAGUUCAAAAUCAGGAGUACUUGGGAUUUAACCAAGACAGAACCACAAUCAGAACUAGAUGAUAGUAGCACUAAAAAUCAUCAUAGACCUGCACUACACUUAUUUAAUUCUACCAAAGUCCACUAUUUAGAUUGAGAAAAGUUUAUAUAAUUAUUUAGCCUUGUUGUGCAAACAAG